AGGCUUAACACAUGCAAGUCGAACGGUCUCUUCGGAGGCAGUGGCAGACGGGUGAGUAAUGCAUGGGAAUCUACCGUUCUCUACGGAAUAACUCAGGGAAACUUGUGCUAAUACCGUAUACGCCCUUUUGGGGAAAGAUUUAUCGGAGAAUGAUGAGCCCAUGUUGGAUUAGCUAGUUGGUGGGGUAAAGGCCUACCAAGGCGACGAUCCAUAGCUGGUCUGAGAGGAUGAUCAGCCACACUGGGACUGAGACACGGCCCAGACUCC
RNAcentral lists this ribosomal RNA (267 nucleotides) under uncultured Pseudochrobactrum sp. RNAcentral describes it as "partial 16S ribosomal RNA". It matches the Rfam family "Bacterial small subunit ribosomal RNA", at positions 46 to 339 of the family's 1533-position model. Lineage: Bacteria; Pseudomonadati; Pseudomonadota; Alphaproteobacteria; Hyphomicrobiales; Brucellaceae. The record is from RNAcentral.